UUUCCAAGAUGAGUAGUUCAGUGCCAUGGAGUAUCCGGGAGCAACUAGAGCACAAAAUCACAAGGUAGAGCAUGUAACUUCAUCCCUCACACUCACCAGGCCAGUAAUCCCUGCUCUGCUGCUUUCCAGAAUGUGCAGCCUCCUCAUCUGCAGAAGUCCAAAGAGAGCCAAAUCCUAACCACUAGAAUACCAGGGAGCUAUGGGAGACAUCACCCAACUAUGUUUAGUGGAAUAUCUGGAAUUUAUAGUAUGUAAUGAGUGUGGUGCAGGUUCAACUCACUGGAAACUUUAUCAGUUACACCUUGCUAGUAGUGGGCUAGACCGCUAAAUAUGGUUAGACUGUGGUCUUAAAGGGAUGGACAUGGUCAGCACCAGUACUGACUUAGAUUGUUGUGUUUAAGCCAAUAAAAAUGCCUCCCACACCGCUACACCAUUAGCAGCCACCUGAACUGUUGAUGAAAGGUCCUCAGGUUCCCGAGACUGUUUAUAAACCUGUGCAGUGAACAUAACACUGAUCUCUAUAGUUAAGGAAAAAGUCUAGACACUGGGAUUUGCAUUGCAAAUUUCCACCACAGGAUCCACUGGCACACCUGUCAAGGACACCCACCAUCAGCUUAAACUGAUUAAAAUUGUAUUCUCUCUCCACUCAUUUGUUCUGCCAGUGGUGGGCAUCUCACAGCACUGCUUUUGCCACUCUCUGCAGUGUAACAGCCAGAUGUCAGUUUAACUCAAAUGUAGUGAAAAAAAAUCAAAUUUGUUGACAUAAUUUCUGGAAGGCACACUCCACCCGAUUUCACCACUUGCAGAUAUAAUGAACAUUUUAGUGCACAUGCAUAAAAUAGGUUCUUCCAGCCAUACAGAUCUGAAUAUUCUCCAGGAUGGAGUGUUAAUAAUCUAUUACAGACUGAGAAGUGUUUCAAGAAUUUCAAGGUGAACAGGUGGCCACUUCACAUUCACAUUUAUAGACUAAGGUUUGAAAUAGUUUAAAGAAAGGCAUAUUUGUAGCUCACCCUCAACACUGCAUGGAGAAUGUAGCAGGAAGCAAAGUAAAAAAAAAAAAAAAAAAUCUCUGAGCUGCCAGAAAAGCUGUAACGAAAAUUCACUGAAGUGCCCAAAGUCAAUUACUGCAGUGAGACAUUCAAAACAACAGUCUAACGGUGCAACAGUUAAUCAAAUGUCAAACUAACAUCUGGCAAACAGAAAUUUAGCACCAUGAAAUGACUGAUUAGCUCUGGGAACGCAUUUCUAUAUACCUAGCACUGCUGUCAGUGUGUUUAUGCACAGAGGGAGGUAUAAUUAAUAGGAGCUAUAUUGGUAUUAUGGUUUUUAAAAUAGCAACAGUUGUGCACCACUAAUGUGCACCUGUAUAGCAGAAUGGAGACCAGCUCUCAUAAGAUCAAGGCUGAACUUAUUAUGAAACACAAACACAAAUGAACUUACUAUUAAAGAGGUUAGAUGAUACUAUUCCUUACAAUGAAAAUACAAUGCAAAUUUUUACACUGGCAAGACAAUAAGUACCUUGACAUUUUGUAAGCUGAAGAUAUGAAUAGCCAGAAUAGAAAGCAAUCAGCUAGUUAGCGUUUAUGGAUCAAAUGAAAAAAAGAGAACUAGCUAGGCUGGCUCCACUAAUGAAAUUAGAAACAUAAAAAUGUUAAUCUGAA
This is a long non-coding RNA of Oreochromis niloticus (Nile tilapia), 1661 nucleotides long. RefSeq lists it as uncharacterized. Lineage: Eukaryota; Metazoa; Chordata; Actinopteri; Cichliformes; Cichlidae. The record is from RefSeq and is a predicted model, not a curated record. The transcript is spliced from 3 exons.